Molecule: non-coding RNA, 51 nt
Organism: Trichobilharzia regenti
Lineage: Eukaryota; Metazoa; Platyhelminthes; Trematoda; Strigeidida; Schistosomatidae
Source: Rfam
AUCCAGAUGACGAGUCUCAAAUAAGACGAAGUGUGGCGCAUUGUUCUGGAU